UGGGGAAUUUUUGGACAAUGGGCGAAAGCCUGAUCCAGCAAUGCCGCGUGUGUGAAGAAGGCCUUCGGGUUGUAAAGCACUUUUGUCCGGAAAGAAAUCCUUGGCUCUAAUACAGUCGGGGGGAUGACGGUACCGGAAGAAUAAGCACCGGCUAACUACGUGCCAGCAGCCGCGGUAAUACGUAGGGUGCAAGCGUUAAUCGGAAUUACUGGGCGUAAAGCGUGCGCAGGCGGUUUGCUAAGACCGAUGUGAAAUCCCCGGGCUAACCUGGGAACUGCAUUGGUGACUGGCAGGCUAGAGUAUGGCAGAGGGGGGUAGAAUUCCACGUGUAGCAGUGAAAUGCGUAGAGAUGUGGAGGAAUACCGAUGGCGAAGGCAGCCCCCUGGGCCAAUACUGACGCUCAUGCACGAAAGCGUGGGGAGCAAACAGGAUUAGAUACCCUGGUAGUCCACGCCCUAAACGAUGUCAACUAGUUNUUGGGGAUUCAUUUCCUUAGUAACGUAGCUAACGCGUGAAGUUGACCGCCUGGGGAGUACGGUCGCAAGAUUAAAAGUCAAAUGAAUUGACGGGGUCAUAGCUGUUUCCU
This 586-nucleotide ribosomal RNA is filed under the name uncultured bacterium. RNAcentral's name for it is "partial 16S ribosomal RNA". It matches the Rfam family "Bacterial small subunit ribosomal RNA", at positions 355 to 1375 of the family's 1533-position model. The record is from RNAcentral.